GAAAAGGUGGCUCAGUGGUAGAGUGCUUGUCUUGCAUGCAAGAGGUCCUGGGUUUGAUUCCUCAGCAUCA
Dipodomys ordii (Ord's kangaroo rat) is the source of this 70-nucleotide non-coding RNA. NCBI's taxonomy places the organism in Eukaryota, Metazoa, Chordata, Mammalia, Rodentia, Heteromyidae. The record is from Rfam.